Molecule: non-coding RNA, 72 nt
Organism: Dipodomys ordii (Ord's kangaroo rat)
Lineage: Eukaryota; Metazoa; Chordata; Mammalia; Rodentia; Heteromyidae
Source: Rfam
GGGAAGGUGGCUCUGUGGUAGAGCGCUUGCCUUGUAUGCACGAGGCCCUGGGUUCGAUUCCUCAGCAUCCCA